CAGCAGCCGCGGUAAUACGUAGGUGGCAAGCGUUGUCCGGAAUUAUUGGGCGUAAAGCGCGCGCAGGUGGUUCCUUAAGUCUGAUGUGAAAGCCCACGGCUCAACCGUGGAGGGUCAUUGGAAACUGGGGGACUUGAGUGCAGAAGAGGAAAGUGGAAUUCCAAGUGUAGCGGUGAAAUGCGUAGAUAUUUGGAGGAACACCAGUGGCGAAGGCGACUUUCUGGUCUGUAACUGACACUGAGGCGCGAAAGCGUGGGGAGCAAACAGGAUUAGAUACCACUGUAGUCCCUGUCUCUUAUAC
RNAcentral lists this ribosomal RNA (301 nucleotides) under uncultured bacterium. Its description in RNAcentral is "partial 16S ribosomal RNA". It matches the Rfam family "Bacterial small subunit ribosomal RNA", at positions 509 to 807 of the family's 1533-position model. The record is from RNAcentral.